UCUACGGCCAUACCACCCUGAACGCGCCUGAUCUCGUUUGAUCUCGGAAGCUAAGCAGGGUCGGGCCUGGUUAGUACUUGGAUGGGAGAACACUGAGGAUAUGCAGUCUCUUGUUAGGG
Molecule: ribosomal RNA, 119 nt
Organism: Dipodomys ordii (Ord's kangaroo rat)
Lineage: Eukaryota; Metazoa; Chordata; Mammalia; Rodentia; Heteromyidae
Source: Ensembl